RNAcentral lists this ribosomal RNA (388 nucleotides) under uncultured bacterium. Its description in RNAcentral is "bacterial SSU rRNA". It matches the Rfam family "Bacterial small subunit ribosomal RNA", at positions 28 to 417 of the family's 1533-position model. The record is from RNAcentral.
GACGAACGCUGGCGGCGUGCUUAACACAUGCAAGUCGAGCGGUAAGGCCCUUUCGGGGGUACACGAGCGGCGAACGGGUGAGUAACACGUGGGUGACCUGCCCUCAGCUCUGGGAUAAGCCCGGGAAACUGGGUCUAAUACCGGAUAUGACUCCAUGACGCAUGUUGUGGGGUGGAAAGCCUUGUGCGGCUGAGGAUGGGCCCGCGGCCUAUCAGCUUGUUGGUGGGGUGANGGCCUACCAAGGCGACGACGGGUAGCCGGCCUGAGAGGGCGACCGGCCACACUGGGACUGAGACACGGCCCAGACUCCUACGGGAGGCAGCAGUGGGGAAUCUUGCGCAAUGGGCGAAAGCCUGACGCAGCGACGCCGCGUGAGGGAUGACGGCCU